This 457-nucleotide ribosomal RNA is filed under the name Nausitora fusticula. Its description in RNAcentral is "partial 16S ribosomal RNA". It matches the Rfam family "Bacterial large subunit ribosomal RNA", at positions 1908 to 2613 of the family's 2925-position model. Lineage: Eukaryota; Metazoa; Mollusca; Bivalvia; Myida; Teredinidae. The record is from RNAcentral.
CCCGGCGAAGCAUCUUUAAACGGUUGCUGUUGAUAGCAGUACUAAGGUAGCACAAUAAAUAGUCCUUUAAUUGGGGAACAGUAUGAAUGGCGUGACGUGGGAAACUCUGUCUCAGGCUUAAGGGCCGAAAUUUACUUCUGUGUGAAAAGGCAUGGAUUAGCGCAUUAGACGAGAAGACCCCGUCGAGCUUGAUGAGGUCUACUUUGGGGUAAGUCAGACUGAAGUUUAGUUGGGGUGACUGGAUGCAAAAUUAACGUAUCUAAACAGAUGGUAAUGUGGAUCCUUUAUUAGGGAUAAGGAGAAAAAGCUACCGCGGGGAUAACAGCGUAAUGUCUUUGGAGAGAUCUUAUUGAAGAAGAAAGUUGCGACCUCGAUGUUGAAUUAGAGUGUUAUCCUGGCGCAGCAGUUGGGACGUGGGACUGUUCGUCCUUUAAAAUUCUUACGUGAUCUGAGUUCA